GCUACGGUGGUCUAGCGGUUAGAACGCUGGGCUUGUAAUCCUGGGGUCUCGGGUUCGAUUCCCGGCGGUGCCC
Molecule: transfer RNA, 73 nt
Filed under: Zootermopsis nevadensis
Lineage: Eukaryota; Metazoa; Arthropoda; Insecta; Blattodea; Termopsidae
Rfam family: tRNA
About the family: Transfer RNA (tRNA) molecules are approximately 80 nucleotides in length. Their secondary structure includes four short double-helical elements and three loops (D, anti-codon, and T loops).
Source: Rfam by way of RNAcentral